Long non-coding RNA from Astyanax mexicanus (Mexican tetra), 657 nucleotides. RefSeq lists it as uncharacterized. The transcript is spliced from 9 exons. Lineage: Eukaryota; Metazoa; Chordata; Actinopteri; Characiformes; Acestrorhamphidae. The record is from RefSeq and is a predicted model, not a curated record.
AGAAUGGUUUUCUCGUUCCUCAGCAGCUCAAUCUGAAGGCACACCUAGGAGGAGCUGAGGCUGGUGGAGGUCGGUGGAGGCUGGUGGAGGUGGGUGGAGGUGGGUGGAGGUUGGUGGAGGUGGGUGGAGGUUGGUGGAGGUGGGUGGAGGUUGGUGGAGACUGGUGGAGGUUGGUGGAGGUGGGUGGAGGUGGGUGGAGGUUGGUGGAGGUGGGUGGAGGCUGGUGGAGGUUGGUGGAGGUCGGUGGAGGUCGGUGGAGGCUGGUGGAGGUGGGUGGAGGUUGGUGGAGACUGGUGGAGGUUGGUGGAGGUGGGUGGAGGUGGGUGGAAGUUGGUGGAGGUUGGUGGAGGUGGGUGGAGGUGGGUGGAGGUUGGUGGAGGUGGGUGGAGGUUGGUGGAGGUCGGUGGAGGUUGGUGGAGGUGGGUGGAGGUUGGUGGAGACUGGUGGAGGUUGGUGGAGGUGGGUGGAGGUGGGUGGAGGUUGGUGGAGGUGGGUGGAGGCUGGUGGAGGUUGGUGGAGGUCGGUGGAGGUCGGUGGAGGUGGGUGGAGGUCGGUGGAGACUGGUGGAGGUUGGUGGAGGUUGGUGGAGGUGGGUGGAGGUUGGUGGAGGUUGGUGGAGGUUGGUGGAGGUGGGUGGAGGUUGGUGGAGGUUGGUGG